UGAAUACGAGAUGCUACGGCGUCGAAGCAGUCUAUGUCAUACUUCCAAGAAAAGCUUGCACUGUCAUAAACAAAUAAUGCCUGUACCAUAACCGACACAGGUGGGUAGGUAGAGUAUACUAAGGGGCGCGAGAUAACUCUCUCUAAGGAACUCGGCAAAAUGACUCCGUAACUUCGGGAGAAGGAGUGCCUUAUUUAUAAGGUUGCAAUAACAAGAUCCAAGCAACUGUUUACCAAAAACACAGGUCUCCGCUAAGUCGUAAGACGAUGUAUGGGGGCUGACGCCUGCCCAGUGCCAGAAGGUUAAAGAAGUUGGUUAGCAUCCGCGAAGCUGAUAACUGAAGCCCUGGUGAACGGCGGCCGUAACAAUAACGGUCCUAAGGUAGCGAAAUUCCUUGUCGGGUGAGUUCCGACCCGCACGAAGGGCGUAAUGAUUUGGAUACUGUCUCGGAGAGGGGCUCGGUGAAAUAGACUUGUCUGUGAAGAUGCGGACUACCUGCACCAGGACAGAAAGACCCUAUGAAGCUUUACUGUAACCUGAAAUUGAAAUUGGACUUUACUUGCGCAGUAUAGGUGGGAGGCGUUGAGAAUAUUCUUGCGGGAUUAUUGGAGCCAUCAGUGAGAUACCACUCUUGUAAUGUUAGAUUUCUAACUUUGUAUCAUUAUCUGGUCAAAGAACAGUUUCAGGCGGGCAGUUUGACUGGGGCGGUCGCCUCCUAAACGGUAACGGAGGCGCACAAAGGUUUCCUCUGAACGGGUAGAAAUCGUAUCUAGAGUGUAAAGGCAUAAGGAAGCUUGACUGUGAGACCUACAAGUCGAGCAGGGACGAAAGUCGGUCUUAGUGAUCUGACGGUGCUGAGUGGAAAGGCCGUCACUCAACGGAUAAAAGUUACUCUAGGAUAACAGGCUGAUCUCCCCCAAGAGUUCACAUCGACGGGGAGGUUUGGCACCUCGAUGUCGGCUCAUCGCAUCCUGGGGCGGUAGUACGUCCCAAGGGUUGGGCUGUUCGCCCAUGAAAGCGGUACGCGAGCUGGGUUCAGAACGUCGUGAGACAGUUCGGUCCAUAUCCGGUGUAGGCGUUAGAAUAUUGAGAGGAGCCUUCUUUAGUACGAGAGGACCGAGAAGGACAUACCUCUGGUGUACCAGUUAUCGUGCCAACGGUAAACGCUGGGUAGCUAUGUGUGGAGUGGAUAACCGCUGAAAGCAUCUAAGUGGGAAGCCCACCUCAAGAUAAG
This 1234-nucleotide ribosomal RNA is filed under the name metagenome. RNAcentral's name for it is "bacterial LSU rRNA". It matches the Rfam family "Bacterial large subunit ribosomal RNA", at positions 1564 to 2808 of the family's 2925-position model. The record is from RNAcentral.